RNAcentral lists this ribosomal RNA (168 nucleotides) under Aspergillus niger. RNAcentral describes it as "5.8S ribosomal RNA". It matches the Rfam family "5.8S ribosomal RNA". Rfam says of the family: 5.8S ribosomal RNA (5.8S rRNA) is a component of the large subunit of the eukaryotic ribosome. It is transcribed by RNA polymerase I as part of the 45S precursor that also contains 18S and 28S rRNA. Lineage: Eukaryota; Fungi; Ascomycota; Eurotiomycetes; Eurotiales; Aspergillaceae. The record is from RNAcentral.
GCAAUCAGUUAAAACUUUCAACAAUGGAUCUCUUGGUUCCGGCAUCGAUGAAGAACGCAGCGAAAUGCGAUAACUAAUGUGAAUUGCAGAAUUCAGUGAAUCAUCGAGUCUUUGAACGCACAUUGCGCCCCCUGGUAUUCCGGGGGGCAUGCCUGUCCGAGCGUCAUU